GUGGGGAAUAUUGGACAAUGGGCGAAAGCCUGAUCCAGCCAUGCCGCGUGUGUGAAGAAGGUCUUCGGAUUGUAAAGCACUUUAAGUUGGGAGGAAGGGCAGUAAGUUAAUACCUUGCUGUUUUGACGUUACCGACAGAAUAAGCACCGGCUAACUUCGUGCCAGCAGCCGCGGUAAUACGAAGGGUGCAAGCGUUAAUCGGAAUUACUGGGCGUAAAGCGCGCGUAGGUGGUUUUGUAAUUUGGAGGUGAAAUCCCCGGGCUCAACCUGGGAACUGCCUCCAAAACUGCAUGACUAGAGUACGGUAGAGGGUAGUGGAAUUUCCUGUGUAGCGGUGAAAUGCGUAGAUAUAGGAAGGAACACCAGUGGCGAAGGCGACUACCUGGACUGAUACUGACACUGAGGUGCGAAAGCGUGGGGAGCAAACAGGAUUAGAAACCCCUGUAGUCC
Molecule: ribosomal RNA, 450 nt
Filed under: uncultured bacterium
Lineage: Bacteria
Description: bacterial SSU rRNA
Rfam family: Bacterial small subunit ribosomal RNA
Source: RNAcentral